AGAUCUGUCAAGAAUUCAAAAACGUGGGUGAGGAUGUCCAAACAACCACGCACUGAGCAGUCCAAAAGUGUCACGUCAGAGAAAAGACAGUCCACAAAUGCCAGACAACGGGGGCAAACCUUCCAUCAUAAAGAACUUGUGGAUAUGGUUCGGCUCAUUGAUGAGUUGAGUGCCACACGUGCCCCAAGAGGGCAGGUGAACCAGCAAAAACAUGACAUAAUGUCUCAAGUAGCUACCUAUCUUAAGGAAAAAUAUGGAACAUUCCACACUCCCAAACAAGUAAAAAAAACGGUUCUCCGACUUAAAGGUUCGCGAAACUCGUAGACUGGGGUCUAUUCGCCGACAGAUUGCUGAAGAACAUGAGCCAAAGGAAGACACACAGUUGCAGGCAAAAUGUACAGAUGAGGAGGAGCCAAGUGUUAGUGGCAAUUGCAACAAGCCAGAUGAGAAUCAGGAAAUGUUGGUUUGCCCGGAAACAGAAUAUUUUACAUUGCAUUUGCAACCCAUUGAUAGUGAAAAAUUUGAACAACUUCCAGAGCCACAAAGGGAGAAUCCAGAAACCAAAACUAUUAGAUUUCUGGAUCGGAGGCUAUGUCAAAUGCAAGAAGAGUUAACUAGCCAAAUGUCAGACGUCUGAUGCUCAAAUAUCGGAUGACUGAAUGGUAUGCUCUGGAGUCCCUGAAAGGAACUCUUGGAGCUCUUGCUGUAGUAGAGGAAUGAUUACCUGCUUCUAUGAAAAUAAGAAUUUAUAGCUUCACAAUGCUAUGUUGUGUUCUUUGUUUUUGGAUUGGGUAUCUCUAUAUUUGGAUUGAAAAUUUACAGACCAUGAUGUGGCACGAGAUACAUUGUUUUAUCCUAGUUGUGGUCCUUGUUUGCUCUAUAUGUACAUCAUAAU
This is a long non-coding RNA of Hyla sarda, 895 nucleotides long. RefSeq lists it as uncharacterized. The record is from RefSeq and is a predicted model, not a curated record. The transcript is spliced from 4 exons. Lineage: Eukaryota; Metazoa; Chordata; Amphibia; Anura; Hylidae.